RNAcentral lists this ribosomal RNA (460 nucleotides) under uncultured bacterium. RNAcentral's name for it is "partial 16S ribosomal RNA". It matches the Rfam family "Bacterial small subunit ribosomal RNA", at positions 338 to 795 of the family's 1533-position model. The record is from RNAcentral.
CCUACGGGAGGCAGCAGUGAGGAAUAUUGGUCAAUGGACGCAAGUCUGAACCAGCCAUGCCGCGUGCAGGAAGACGGCUCUAUGAGUUGUAAACUGCUUUUGUACGAGGGUAAACGCAGAUACGCGUAUCUGUCUGAAAGUAUCGUACGAAUAAGGAUCGGCUAACUCCGUGCCAGCAGCCGCGGUAAUACGGAGGAUUCAAGCGUUAUCCGGAUUUAUUGGGUUUAAAGGGUGCGUAGGCGGGCGGAUAAGUUAGAGGUGAAAUCCCGAGGCUCAACUUCGGAAUUGCCUUUGAUACUGGUCGGCUAGAGAGUAGUUGCGGUAGGCGGAAUGUAUGGUGUAGCGGUGAAAUGCUUAGAGAUCAUGCAGAACACCGAUUGCGAAGGCAGCUUACCGGGCUACAUCUGACGUUGAGGCACGAAAGCGUGGGGAGCGAACAGGAUUAGAUACCCCUGUAGUC